This 1185-nucleotide long non-coding RNA is filed under the name Homo sapiens (human). Its description in RNAcentral is "HMGA2 antisense RNA 1, transcript variant 2 (HMGA2-AS1)". The record is from RNAcentral. Lineage: Eukaryota; Metazoa; Chordata; Mammalia; Primates; Hominidae.
AGACGCAACCCUGGCAGCGCAGCCCGGAGCACAGCCGAGGCUUCCUCUUUCUCUCAGUUCCUGGCUGCUUCAGUAUGAACAGAAAAGGUGGGCAGGGGCCAACUGGCAGGAGCCUCCGAAAUAGCAGCACAUGAUCCUCCUACCAGCAGCAGAAAGGCCAGCCCGCAAGACCUCGCCGCCUGCCCAGCUCUGUCAUUGACUAAGGUUGCUUUUGUCAGUACAGCCGCCAGGGGUUUCCACGCUCAUUCCCCUCCGGACAAGGUGGACAGCUUUGGUGAUAGACAACUGGGAGGUAAAACUCCACAGAGCCAUGCCAGCGACUGACCGCCCAGGGACAGGAGAUGGAGACGUUCAGCUGCAAAGGCUACGGAGGAACCCCCGCAAUUGGAAUCUCUCCAUGCCUUCUGCAGCAUGGAAACAUACUCCGGGACCUACCGGGGCUCUCUCGGGCCACCUCUGAGUGCAAGGGAAAAGAGUGCAGUUCAAGGAAGGGAAUGUGUCUGUCAUCCCACCACUUGCGCGCAAGGCCAGUUCCGGGAUCAGCAGGCUUCCUUCACCAGCACGGGCUCUUCAUUAGCAACCACUGGGAGGGAAUGUGUGCGGAGUCAUGUCAAGAUGGGAAGGCACAUGUUCCUAUCUUGACAGCAGCAGAAAGAAAAAUGGCAGCAGAAGGAAAACAGCAGCAGAAAGAAAAAUUUGACUCAGAUGGGUUGAGAGGGCAAUGGCAAGCAAUCUUGGUACAUGUCAGCUGCAUCUCAGAGUCUCGCUUUGUUGCCCAGGCAGUGGCAUGAUCUUGGCUCACUCCAAACUCCGCCUCCUGAGUUCAAGCUGCUCGCUGGAAUUACAGGUGCCCGCCACCACAGCUGUCUAAUUUCUUGGUUUUUGUUUUUGUUUUUGAGAUGGAGUUUCGCUCUUGUCACCCAGGCUGGAGUGCCAUGGUGCAAUCUCAGCUCACUGCAACCUCUGCCUCCCAGGUUCAAGUGAUUCUCCGGCUUCAGCCUCCCAAGUAGCUAGGAUUACAGGCAUGCGCCACCACACCCGGCUAAUUUUUUGUAUUUUUAGUAGAGAUGGGGUUUCACCUUGUUGGCCAGGCUGGUCUCGAACUCCUGACCUCAAGUGAUUGACCUGCCUCGGCCUCCGAAAGUGCUGGAAUUACAGGCCUGAGCCACUGUGCCAGGCCAAAAU